This 253-nucleotide ribosomal RNA is filed under the name uncultured bacterium. RNAcentral describes it as "partial 16S ribosomal RNA". It matches the Rfam family "Bacterial small subunit ribosomal RNA", at positions 524 to 776 of the family's 1533-position model. The record is from RNAcentral.
UACGAAGGUCCCAAGCGUUGUUCGGAAUCACUGGGCGUAAAGGGUGCGUAGGCGGCGCGGAAAGUCAGAGGUGAAAUCCCGGGGCUCAACCCCGGAACUGCCUCCGAUACUGCCGCGCUAGAGUGCUGAAAAGGAGCCCGGAAUUCACGGUGGAGCAGUGAAAUGCGUAGAUAUCGUGAGGAACACUAGCGGCGAAGGCGGGACUCUGGGCAGCAACUGACGCUGAGGCACGAAGGCCAGGGGAGCAAACGGG